Molecule: ribosomal RNA, 494 nt
Filed under: uncultured bacterium
Lineage: Bacteria
Description: partial 16S ribosomal RNA
Rfam family: Bacterial small subunit ribosomal RNA
Source: RNAcentral
GACGAACGCUGGCGGCGUGCUUAACACAUGCAAGUCGAACGGAAAGGCCUGCUUUCCCUUGUGGAUUGCGGGUACUCGAGUGGCGAACGGGUGAGUAACACGUGAGUGAUCUGCCCCCAACUUGGGUAUAAGCCUGGGAAACUGGGUCUAAUUCCCGAUAGGACUGCAGGGUGGUGCCUGUGGUGGAAAACGAUUUUCUAGUGGUUGGGGAUGAGCUCGCGGCCUAUCAGCUUGUUGGUGGGGUAAUGGCCUACCAAGGCGGCGACGGGUAGCCGGCCUGAGAGGGUGGACGGCGACAUUGGGACUGGGAUACGGCCCAGACUCCUACGGGAGGCAGCAGUGGGGAAUAUUGCACAAUGGGCGGAAGCCUGAUGCAGCGACGCCGCGUGGGGGAUGACGGCCUUCGGGUUGUAAACUCCUUUCGACCGCGAGGAAGCCACCUGGUUGGAAGGGUGGUGACGGUAGUGGUAGAGGAAGCACCGGCUAACUACGUG